RNAcentral lists this ribosomal RNA (274 nucleotides) under uncultured bacterium. RNAcentral describes it as "partial 16S ribosomal RNA". It matches the Rfam family "Bacterial small subunit ribosomal RNA", at positions 523 to 796 of the family's 1533-position model. The record is from RNAcentral.
AUACGGAGGGUGCAAGCGUUAAUCGGAAUUACUGGGCGUAAAGGGCGCGUAGGCGGCUGGGUCAGUCGGAUGUGAAAGCCCCGGGCUUAACCUGGGAACUGCAUUCAAAACUGGCAGGCUAGAGUACAGUUGAGGUGGGCGGAAUGUGUCAUGUAGCGGUGAAAUGCAUAGAUAUGACACAGAACACCGAUUGCGAAGGCAGCUCGCUAAACUGUUACUGACGCUGAGGCACGAAAGCGUGGGGAGCGAACAGGAUUAGAAACCCCUGUAGUCC